UUCUCUGUAGGGCAGAAACAGUGACCUAAGGAAGGUGAGCAGCAACAAUAUUUGAAGAAACCAGUCUCAUCUGGAAUAUCAAGACAGAAGAUUGAUGCUGGAAAUUACUAUCCUGAAUGGCUGCUGCUAGGAGGAAGCUUACAGUAGUUGGAGAUGACUGCUCUGGUAAGACGUGCCUCCUCUUCGCUCUGCGUCGCAAUCAGCUCCCCACAUUCUACGAGCCAACCCUGUUUGACACGUAUGCCACUGACAUAGAGGAAGAUGGGAAGGAGAUGAAGCUGUUUCUGUUUGACGUGUCAGGAAAAGAUGAAGCCAGUUACCGAAAUCUCCGCUCGGUGUUCUAUGAGGACACCAACAUUAUUUUAAUAUGUUUCUCAGUGGACAGGCCUGACUCACAGCAAAACGUCCUUGACUUUUGGGUUCCAGAAAUCAAACUGUUCUGCCCCACGGUUCCUAUUAUUUUAGUGGCUACCAAGAUUGAACUGAGGGAUGAUGAAGCUAUCAGGAAGAAAUUAGCUGCUCAGGGCUAUGAGCCAAUUAACACUGUAGAAGGAAAAGCUUUAGCAGCCAGGAUUGGGGCAUAUGCUUACCUGGAGUGUUCUGCCAGGACAAAAGAAGGUGUUGAUGCCGCCCUGGAGAUAAUUAGCCAAUGUGCAUUAAAUGAGAAAAAGAGGAGAAAGAAGCGCCAAAGGUCCUGCCAAAUUUUGUAAGAGGCACAAAUAUUAUUUUGUUUUUAGUUUUCAUUAUGUGGAAGAGUGAGUAGAUGUCUUUGAUGCUGCUGUGUGGGUGCUGUAAGGGCUUUUGUGGUACAAGAUGGAAAAAACAUUUAUGUGGAUGGAAAGUCUGCCAAGUCUCUCACUUGAAAAGUUGGAUUUGUUUCCUUCUCCAAAGCAGGCUGAAGAACACAACUCCAGGUUCGAGCUGAGCACAAGUCUUGAGAAAUGGAAAUGAACAAGCUACAGUUCUUCACAGAGUUGUCUUGGUCAAGGGACAUAUAUGCAGACUGGUGCAAUCAUGAGUGCAUGGAGCACUUGCAGGCUGAAGACAUGAAGUAAAAGGAAUGCUGACAGCUACGCUCUCUGCUUUGCAAGUCAUUGACAAUUUGGAAAGAGACUAAAACAUGCUGUCAACCUCAGCAGAGAAUCUCAGGGAAGCACAGAGACGAGGCAAAAAGGAACGACUUCGGGUGCACCUCCAUACUCUUCCCUUCUCUGAAGCAGUCUGCUGCCAGCCCAAGAAACUGAUUUACGGACUGACAUUAAAGGUGCAAGUGUGGGAGACAGAAGAUAAUGUAACUAUGGGAUUUGGAGACAGAUGCUAUAACAGGAAAUGAACAUAAAAAUUUCAAAGGUAAACUCUGAUAAAGGGACAGGACUAAUUGAGCAUAACUGUUGUGAACUGGGAGAAUGUGGAAGUGCAGUACUUUCUUUUGCUGACUUACCUAGUGGUGGUUUCAUCACUCAGCAGCUUGUCUAAAGUUUCCCAGGGGAAAACAAGACUAAACACAAAAUGUUACACUGAUUGUGCAACCUGCAGCUGUACCCUUAGCAAACUAGUUUUCCCAGACCUGGUAAAAUACACACUUCAUAUUUUAAUUGCCCAUUCUUCCCACCAACAUUUGUCUAUUGAUGGUAACGUGGAUAGAAAUGCCAGACUUGGCCAGGUAUUAUUGAGUGGGUUGCUGCUACUUCUUAGUAGUGGGUUUGAGUAACAAAUGCUUUAAGGGUGAUGCUUUACAUUUCCAAAGAAUCUCUGAGCUCUAUUCAACUUGAAUUACGAAUCCAUCUCUUGGUGAUAAAAAAGUGUUAUUUCCAUUUUCAAAACUGAGAAACUUAAAUUGUUGCCUAAAGUAAGUGUGAACCAUCUACUACAUGGAGUUCCUGUUUUUCUUGACUCAUUUUCUUCACCUUUUCCCUUUUCCCUCCAGAGACAAUUUUUCACCUCGAUUUCUUCCCCUCUGUGUAAUAAUCCCCUCUAUGCAACUUGAUAUUGUACAUAAAUUUAAAACUGUUUUCCCCUUCCUCCUUGGAUGUGU
RNA transcript from Lagopus leucura (white-tailed ptarmigan), 2035 nucleotides. It is a transcript of the gene named rho-related GTP-binding protein RhoC-like, with no coding region annotated. Lineage: Eukaryota; Metazoa; Chordata; Aves; Galliformes; Phasianidae. The transcript is spliced from 3 exons. The record is from RefSeq and is a predicted model, not a curated record.